This 529-nucleotide ribosomal RNA is filed under the name uncultured bacterium. RNAcentral's name for it is "bacterial SSU rRNA". It matches the Rfam family "Bacterial small subunit ribosomal RNA", at positions 777 to 1319 of the family's 1533-position model. The record is from RNAcentral.
AAUAGAUACCCGGGUAGUCCACGCCGUAAACGAUGUGUGCUAGAAGUCGGGAUAACUCGGUUUCGAAGCUAACGCAUUAAGCACACCGCCUGGGGAGUACGGUCGCAAGGCUGAAACUCAAAAGAAUUGACGGGGACCCGCACAAGUGGUGGAGCAUGUGGUUUAAUUCGAUGCAACGCGAUGAACCUUACCAAGACUUGACAUACUCGGCAAAACUAUAGAGAUAUAGUGGAGGUUAUCCGAUGUACAGGUGGUGCAUGGUUGUCGUCAGCUCGUGUCGUGAGAUGUUGGGUUAAGUCCCGCAACGAGCGCAACCCCUAUCUUUAUUUGCUAACAUUAAGUUGAGGACUAUAGAGAGACUGCCUACGCAAGUAGGAGGAAGGUGGGGAUGACGUCAAAUCAUCAUGCCCCUUAUGUCUUGGGCUACACACGUGCUACAAUGGCCGGUACAAAGGGCUGCAAACUGGUGACAGUAAGCGAAUCCCAUAAAGCCGGUCUAAGUUCGGAUUGAAGUCUGCAACUCGACUUC